RNAcentral lists this long non-coding RNA (479 nucleotides) under Nicotiana benthamiana. RNAcentral describes it as "long non-coding RNA (NBEN_LNC034578)". The record is from RNAcentral. Lineage: Eukaryota; Viridiplantae; Streptophyta; Magnoliopsida; Solanales; Solanaceae.
UUCUUUGGUGUUGGAGUGAACUUGGUAUUGUUCUUAGUCAGAGUGUUGGGACAAGAUAAUGCAACUGCAGCUAACAAUGUCAGCAAAUGGACUGGAACUGUUUAUUUGUGUUCACUUUUGGGAGCUUUUAUCAGUGACUCUUACUGGGGUCGUUUUUCUCACUUGUGACUGUUUAUUUGUGUUCACUUUUGGGAGCUUUUAUCAGUGACUCUUACUUGGGUCGUUUUCUCACUUGUGCCAUCUUUCAGCUUAUUCUCCUCCUGGUAAUAAAAUAUAGUAUAAGUAGACUUUUAUUUUAUCUUUAAUAAUAUAUUGUUAUAAUCCUAGGAAUAUCAUGACACAUGUUUAAGAUCACAAAGUUAUAAGCUAUAUUAUUCGAACUCUUCAAAAAUAUUGUUUGAUAUAUAUCGAAUCCUCAUCCGAUACGAGUGCAGUAUUAUUAUUGAAGAAUCCGUACAUCAUAGAUUACAAAAGUACUU